This 68-nucleotide transfer RNA is filed under the name Orthopygia glaucinalis. Its description in RNAcentral is "tRNA-Asp". Lineage: Eukaryota; Metazoa; Arthropoda; Insecta; Lepidoptera; Pyralidae. RNAcentral also lists the same sequence under 2 other names. The record is from RNAcentral.
AAAGAAUUAGUUAAACUUAUAACAUAAAUAUGUCAAAUUUAAAUUAAUAUCUUACAUAUUAUUCUUUU